ACAGAGGGUGCGAACGUUGCUCGGAAUUACUGGGCGUAAAGCGCGUGUAGGCGGGAUGAUAAGUCGGAAGUGAAAUCCCCGGGCUCAACCCGGGAACUGCUUUCGAAACUGCCGUCCUCGAGUACCGGAGAGGGUGGCGGAAUUCCUGGUGUAGAGGUGAAAUUCGUAGAUAUCAGGAGGAACACCGGUGGCGAAGGCGGCCACCUGGACGG
RNAcentral lists this ribosomal RNA (212 nucleotides) under uncultured prokaryote. RNAcentral describes it as "partial 16S ribosomal RNA". It matches the Rfam family "Bacterial small subunit ribosomal RNA", at positions 525 to 736 of the family's 1533-position model. The record is from RNAcentral.